RNAcentral lists this ribosomal RNA (376 nucleotides) under uncultured organism. RNAcentral's name for it is "partial 16S ribosomal RNA". It matches the Rfam family "Bacterial small subunit ribosomal RNA", at positions 527 to 896 of the family's 1533-position model. The record is from RNAcentral.
GUAGGUGGCAAGCGUUGUCCGGAAUUAUUGGGCGUAAAGCGCGCGCAGGCGGUCCUUUAAGUCUGAUGUGAAAGCCCACGGCUCAACCGUGGAGGGUCAUUGGAAAACUGGGGGGACUUGAGUACAGAAGAGGAAAGCGGAAUUCCAAGUGUAGCGGUGAAAUGCGUAGAGAUUUGGAGGAACACCAGUGGCGAAGGCGGCUUUCUGGUCUGUAACUGACGCUGAGGCGCGAAAGCGUGGGGAGCAAACAGGGAUUAGAUACCCUGGUAGUCCACGCCGUAAACGAUGAGUGCUAAGUGUUAGGGGGUUUCCCGCCCCCUUAGUGCUGCAGCUAACGCAUUAAGCACUCCGCCUGGGGAGUACGGCCGCAAGGCUG